GCGCCCGUAGCUCAACUGGAUAGAGUAUUUGGCUUCGGACCAAAGGGUUGCAGGUUCAAAUCCUGCCGGGCGCA
RNAcentral lists this transfer RNA (74 nucleotides) under Candidatus Falkowiibacteriota bacterium. Its description in RNAcentral is "tRNA-Arg". It matches the Rfam family "tRNA". From Rfam's summary of the family: Transfer RNA (tRNA) molecules are approximately 80 nucleotides in length. The record is from RNAcentral. Lineage: Bacteria; Candidatus Falkowiibacteriota.